Molecule: long non-coding RNA, 449 nt
Organism: Pieris napi
Lineage: Eukaryota; Metazoa; Arthropoda; Insecta; Lepidoptera; Pieridae
Exons: 2
Source: RefSeq, a predicted model, not a curated record
CUAUCGGUCUUACUAAUAAAAAAUCACUAUACAUGCGUUAUAACAAGGUGAUAGUAAUUCAGUGAAUAGAGCUUGUACAGGGCAUAAACACCUCUUUGACCAAUAAUCGAUGUGUAUUGGUUGAAUAACAAAACGACCCUUAUUUACUGUUACCCUGGCAACCCACCGUGUUUGAUUGACGUUUGAUUUAAUAAUUCUGAUACAACUCAUAAUUCUAAUCUAAUAGAAACUCCAAAACCUCAGACAAAGAGGACUAGAAUUUUACAUAAAAAGCCGCGUUCUGCAGUACAAAAGUUAGAAGAGGAUAGUAUCAAUGUGAUAGAGAAAGGACUAUUUCAUUCAAAACCCCUCAACGAUCAUACUUAAAUUUUUAAGAUCAUCUCAAAUAGUGGAAAGUGCCAAACUCCGCAACACGGUAGUGUUCCAGUGUUUGCAGGAAGAGCACGAAA